CGCACAUAUUUGAAAGCAGUGGGUAACGGAAAAUAAAAUACCCACCCAACAUUCAUAAUACCCACUCCAAAAAAAUACAGUGGGUACAGUACCCACAUGAGCUAAAUCUUAUCUGGAGCUCUGUUGUUUAUGAUUUUGCCGGAAUGGAGUGGAAGAUUUUUGUGCUCAGUUCGAUCAUGAACUGUAUGUAUUGUACUCAUUGUGCUUGUUGUACUCAUUGUACUUAUUGUACUCAUUGUACUCAUCCCAUAUCUGUGAUGUUUUUCUUAUGAAAGAUAUUUUCAUAUUGAGAUUACUAUUUUCACCAACAUAUUGUAUUGAAUAUGUUCGCUAUUUUGUGUAGUCAAAACUUUGUGAAUGUACAGAAUUGUAUCUUAAAUAGAAAUAUAUAUCAUGUAUGCAUAAUAUGUACAGUAAUACAAUUUUGUAUUUAGCUUUUAUUGAUAUGAAUGUUUGAGAUUUGACCAUUGUUGGUACUUAAUGGGUUUGUAUACAAUUGGGUUCCUGCCAUACCCCUGUGAAUACAUACAACAGAAUACAGUAGUUGCUGUCUUCAACAAGGAAAUCAAAUCACAACAGGAAGCUAGUGCUUAGUCCAGUCAUGCUGAGAAGACAUGACACAAAUCAUGUAACAUGCCUCCUACUCCUAGUGAGGGGCGGAGGGGUAGCCUAAUUCGUUGCUCGUCACGCCGAAGACCUGGGUUCGAUUCUCCACAUGGGUACAAUGUGUGAAGCCCAUUUCUGGUGUCCCCCGCCCUGAUAUUGCCCGGAAUAUUGCUAAAAGCGGCAGUAAACAAUAAACUCACUCACCCUACAACAUUGUGAUCAUGCACUUUAAACUUUUCUCCUGUAUGAGGUGACGAUAGGGUUCAUACAAAAAUCAUGCACAGUGUAUGGCUCAUUUGACUCCGUGAGGAGAAUGUCCGCAGUUCCGUUCAUCAUGAUAUUAACAGCCAUAUGUAGUCACAGAUGGUAGAGGACUAUACAAACCCAGGAAGUACUGACAUGAUCACAUCCCACAAACCCCGUCAGUUGUUGACACUGAGAUGUGACAAGAUGUGUUAUUUGUUUUGUGUUGGCACUGCAGUUUAAAGUAACUUGAUUGACAGUUUUACCAGUGAAGAGUUAUAUAUACAGAAUAUACACCUGGAAAAAUAAUCAAGCGCCAUUUACUUUAGUGAGUGAGUAAGUUUACUUGUACGAUUUUUCUGGAAUAUUUCAACUAGGAAUAGGACUAGGGCUAGGACUUAGCAUCAUCUGAUGUGACCCAGUACUUACGGCAGAUUUGAUCAGUAUGCAGUAUUCAUGUACCGACUACCCAAGGAUCAAUGGUAUUUUAACCAUUUCUAAAUAUUUAACCACUGUCAUAUGUUGAUUCCCCCCAAAAUGCAAACGAUAUGGAUAUUUAAAUAUGAAAAAUGAUGGUGCUUUUCUUUUCUCCAGAGUGUAAUAAUGCUUACUGAUGUGAACUGAAUAUUUGUUUCGCUUCAUAUUGUGUUCAGGACAUACUCAAGUUUAUAUUGUCUCAUGAAAAUGUUUAUUUUGGUAUUAGUAUACUAGUAGUUUAGAUUUAGACAGAGUAUUAUGAUUCUGGUUAAUUUGUUUAGGGAUAAAAUGAUGUGAUGAGUUUUGUUUUGGAGUUUUGUUUUAUAGACUCAUUUGUAUGAUUUUCCAACACUGACCAGAAUGGUACACAAUCUAGAUAUUCUGGGAACAAAAUAUUGCAUUAGUAUUAGAAUACCUUUUUCACAGCUAUUCAUCAAAGAUCUGUAGAUGUCUGAAUUGCAUAUGACAUGCAUUUUAGAUCUACUUUCAUAAAGCAGGUUAAUUAGAGUGAGAAAUCUUUGAAAUGGGAAAGUGUGAAAUUGACACUUUUUUUGUUGAAAUUGACACAUUU
Molecule: long non-coding RNA, 1897 nt
Organism: Haliotis rubra (blacklip abalone)
Lineage: Eukaryota; Metazoa; Mollusca; Gastropoda; Lepetellida; Haliotidae
Exons: 3
Source: RefSeq, a predicted model, not a curated record